RNAcentral lists this ribosomal RNA (2871 nucleotides) under human gut metagenome. RNAcentral describes it as "bacterial LSU rRNA". It matches the Rfam family "Bacterial large subunit ribosomal RNA". The record is from RNAcentral.
AGAGCGCAGAGUGAAUGCCUUGGCAUUGAGAGCCGAAGAAGGACGUGGUUAACUGCGAUAAGCAGCGGGGAGUUGUAAGCAAGCAUUGAUCCGCUGAUUUCCGAAUGGAGCAAUCCGCAUGAAGUAGUUCAUGCAUCCAUAUGUGAAUCAAUAGCAUAUGGAGGGGAACCGCCUGAACUGAAACAUCUAAGUAGGGCGAGGAAGAGAAAUCAACCGAGAUUCUGUGAGUAGUGGCGAGCGAAAGCGGAAGAGGCUAAACCAUAGGUAGCAAUACUUAUGGGGUUUCGGACAGCAUUUAGUAUUGAAAAUUUCUAGUUGAAACGUGUGGGAAAACGUACCGAAGAGUGUGAGAGUCACGUAAGCGAAAGAGAAAGUCAGCGAGCUGUAUCCAAAGUACCGCGGGACACGUGAAACCCCGUGGGAAGAUGGGGGGACCAUCCUCCAAGCCUAAAUACUACCUAAUGACCGAUAGCGAAUAGUACUGUGAAGGAACGGUGAAAAGAACCCCGGGAGGGGAGUGAAAAAGAACCUGAAACCCUAUGCUUACAAGCACCGAGAGCACGUCAAAGUGUGAUCGGGUACCUUUUGUAGAAUGGUCCGGCGAGUUAUUGUAUGCGGCAAGGUUAAGUGCUUAAGGCACGGAGCCGAAGCGAGAGCAAGUCUGAACAGGGCGAAAAAGUCGUAUGCAAUAGACCCGAAACCGAGUGACCUAUCCAUGUCCAGGCUGAAGUGGAGGUAAAACUCCAUGGAGGGCCGAACACACGUCCGUUGAAAAGGCCGGUGAUGAGGUGUGGAUAGCGGAGAAAUUCCAAUCGAACUCGGAUAUAGCUGGUUCUCUCCGAAAUAGCUUUAGGGCUAGCCUCGUGAAAGAUUACUGGAGGUAAAGCACUGAAUGGGCUAGGGGUCGAAAGAUUACUGAACCCUAUCAAACUAAGAAUGCCAGAUAAUUGAUUCACGGGAGUCAGACAAUGUGAGAUAAGUCUCAUUGUCAAAAGGGAAACAGCCCAGACCCACAGCUAAGGUCCCAAAGGAAUGUUAAGUGGAGAAGGAUGUGGAGUUGCGAAAACAACCAGGAUGUUGGCUUAGAAGCAGCCACACAUUUAAAGAGUGCGUAAUAGCUCACUGGUCGAGUGAUUGUGCGCCGAAGAUGUCCGGGGCUAAACGUGACACCGAAGCGAUGGGUGCAUCUGAAAGGAUGCGCGGUAGAGGAGCAAUGUGCAGAGGCAGAAGCCGUAUCGAGAGGCACGGUGGACACUGCACAAGAGAGAAUGCCGGUAUGAGUAGCGAGAGGCAUGCGAGAAACAUGCCCGUCGAAAGCCCAAGGUUUCCUGGGGAAGGUUCAUCCGCCCAGGGUAAGUCGGGGCCUAAGCCGAGGACGGAAGUCGUAGGCGAUGGACAGCAGGUGUAGAUUCCUGCACUACCGAUGGAAUGAAGCAGUGACACAGAAGGAUAACUCGAGCAGGGUGAUGGUCAACCCUGUGCAAGCAUCAAGGUUGGGUUGUAGUGAAGUACGCAACCCUACAAGCUGAGGUGUGAUGCGGACCGAAAUUUCAGUAGGGAAGCGAGUGAGUUCACGCUGGCGAGAAAAGCUGCUAGUACAUCCAAAGGUACCCGUACCGGAAACCGACGCAGGUGGGCGAGGAGAGAAUCCUGAGACGAACGGGAGAACCCUUGUUAAGGAACUCGGCAAAAUGACCCCGUAACUUCGGGAUAAGGGGUGCCUGCGAGAGCAGGCCGCAGAGAAUAGUCACAAGCGACUGUUUAGCAAAAACACAGGUAUCUGCGAAAGCGAGAGCUGACGUAUAGGUGCUGACACCUGCCCGGUGCUGGAAGGUUAAGGGAACAUGUUAGAGCAAUCGAAGCAUCGAACCGAAGCCCCAGUAAACGGCGGCCGUAACUAUAACGGUCCUAAGGUAGCGAAAUUCCUUGUCGGGUAAGUUCCGACCCGCACGAAUGGCGUAACGACUUGUGAGCUGUCUCAACAGGAGGCCCGGUGAAAUUGAAGUAUGUGUGAAGAUGCACAUUACCCGCGACUGGACGGAAAGACCCCGUAGAGCUUUACUGUAACCUGACAUUGGAUCUUGAUAACGGAUGCACAGGAUAGGUGGGACGCUGGGAGGUAUGGACUUUGGUCUGUACGGAGCGGACGUUGGGAUACCACUCUUCUGUUAUUGAGAUUCUAACCUCAAGCCGUAAGCCGGAUGAGAGACAGUGUCAGGCGGACAGUUUGACUGGGGCGGUCGCCUCCGAAAGAGUAACGGAGGCGCCCAAAGGUACCCUCAGAAUGGAUGGAAACCAUUCGAAGAGAGCAAAGUCAGAAGGGUGCUUGACUGCGAGACCAACAAGUCGAGCAGGUACGAAAGUAGGGCUUAGUGAUCCGGCGGUAAGAGAGUGGAAUUGCCGUCGCUCAACGGAUAAAAGCUACCUCGGGGAUAACAGGCUGAUCUCCCCCAAGAGUUCACAUCGACGGGGAGGUUUGGCACCUCGAUGUCGGCUCAUCGCAUCCUGGGGCUGUAUUCGGUCCCAAGGGUUUGGCUGUUCGCCAAUUAAAGCGGCACGCGAGCUGGGUUCAGAACGUCGUGAGACAGUUCGGUCCCUAUCCAUCGUGGGCGAAGGACACAUGAGAGGAGCUGCUCCUAGUACGAGAGGACCGGAGUGGACGCAUCACUGGUGCAACUGUUGUCGUGCCAACGGCACAGCAGGGAAGCGAAAUGCGGAUGGGAUAAACGCUGAAGGCAUCUAAGCGUGAAGCCCACCUCAAGAAUAAGACUCCACAAUAGACCCCUGGAGGACUACCAGGUAGAUAGGUCAUCGGUGGAAGCGCUGUAAGGCGUGCAGCUUGAUGAUACUAAUCGGUCGAAAGCUUCAUUU